RNAcentral lists this ribosomal RNA (484 nucleotides) under uncultured Bacillota bacterium. Its description in RNAcentral is "bacterial SSU rRNA". It matches the Rfam family "Bacterial small subunit ribosomal RNA", at positions 347 to 823 of the family's 1533-position model. The record is from RNAcentral. Lineage: Bacteria; Bacillati; Bacillota.
GGCAGCAGUGGGGAAUCUUCGGCAAUGGGCGAAAGCCUGACCGAGCAACGCCGCGUGAAUGAUGAAGGCCUUCGGGUUGUAAAAUUCUGUUAUAAGGGAAGAACGACUUUAGUAGGAAAUAGCUAAAGUGUGACGGUACCUUAUGAGAAAGCCACGGCUAACUACGUGCCAGCAGCCGCGGUAAUACGUAGAUGGCAAGCGUUAUCCGGAAUUAUUGGGCGUAAAGAGCGCGCAGGUGGUUGAUUAAGUCUGAUGUGAAAGCCCACGGCUUAACCGUGGAGGGUCAUUGGAAACUGGUUGACUUGAGUGCAGAAGAGGGAAGUGGAAUUCCAUGUGUAGCGGUGAAAUGCGUAGAGAUAUGGAGGAACACCAGUGGCGAAGGCGGCUUCCUGGUCUGUAACUGACACUGAGGCGCGAAAGCGUGGGGAGCAAACAGGAUUAGAUACCCUGGUAGUCCACGCCGUAAACGAUGAGUACUAGGUGU